This 194-nucleotide ribosomal RNA is filed under the name uncultured bacterium. RNAcentral's name for it is "partial 16S ribosomal RNA". It matches the Rfam family "Bacterial small subunit ribosomal RNA", at positions 338 to 524 of the family's 1533-position model. The record is from RNAcentral.
CCUACGGGACGCAGCAGUGGGGAAUAUUGGACAAUGGGGGCAACCCUGAUCCAGCAAUGCCGCGUGUGCCAAGAAGGCCAUCGGGUUGUAAAGCACAAUUAUCGGGUACGAAACAUUGUCGCCCAAUACCCGGCAAGACUGACGGUACCCGAGGAAUAAGCACCGGCUAACUGCGUGCCAGCAGCCGCGGAAAU